RNAcentral lists this unclassified non-coding RNA (353 nucleotides) under soil metagenome. Its description in RNAcentral is "partial contains 5.8S ribosomal RNA, internal transcribed spacer 2, and large subunit ribosomal RNA". The stretch from base 1 to 120 matches the Rfam family "5.8S ribosomal RNA", at positions 35 to 154 of the family's 154-position model. The record is from RNAcentral.
GAUGAAGAACGCAGCGAAAUGCGAUAAGUAAUGUGAAUUGCAGAAUUCAGUGAAUCGUCGAAUCUUUGAACGCACAUUGCGCCCGCCAGUAUUCUGGCGGGCAUGCCUGUUCGAGCGUCAUUACAACCCUCAGGCCCCCGGGCCUGGCGUUGGGGAUCGGCGGAAGCCCCCUGCGGGCACAACGCCGUCCCCCAAAUACAGUGGCGGUCCCGCCGCAGCUUCCAUUGCGUAGUAGCUAACACCUCGCAACUGGAGAGCGGCGCGGCCACGCCGUAAAACACCCAACUUCUGAAUGUUGACCUCGAAUCAGGUAGGAAUACCCGCUGAACUUAAGCAUAUCAAUAAGCGGAGGA